This 27-nucleotide non-coding RNA is filed under the name Homo sapiens (human). Lineage: Eukaryota; Metazoa; Chordata; Mammalia; Primates; Hominidae. The record is from RNAcentral.
UACCAGGUUUGACUGUUUGCCUUUGUC